GCUACUAUAGCUCAGUCGGUAGAGUGCUACCUUGGUAAGGUAGAGGUCACGGGUUCGAUUCCCGUUAGUAGCUCCA
RNAcentral lists this transfer RNA (76 nucleotides) under Clostridia bacterium. RNAcentral describes it as "tRNA-Thr". It matches the Rfam family "tRNA". From Rfam's summary of the family: Transfer RNA (tRNA) molecules are approximately 80 nucleotides in length. Their secondary structure includes four short double-helical elements and three loops (D, anti-codon, and T loops). Further hydrogen bonds mediate the characteristic L-shaped molecular structure. tRNAs have two regions of fundamental functional importance: the anti-codon, which is responsible for specific mRNA codon recognition, and the 3' end, to which the tRNAs corresponding amino acid is attached (by aminoacyl-tRNA synthetases). tRNAs cope with the degeneracy of the genetic code in two manners: having more than one tRNA (with a specific anti-codon) for a particular amino acid; and 'wobble' base-pairing, i.e. permitting non-standard base-pairing at the 3rd anti-codon position. Lineage: Bacteria; Bacillati; Bacillota; Clostridia. The record is from RNAcentral.